Molecule: transfer RNA, 95 nt
Rfam family: tRNA
About the family: Transfer RNA (tRNA) molecules are approximately 80 nucleotides in length.
Source: Rfam
GCCUUUGUAGCUCAGUGGCAGAGCGCGCCUUUCGUAUGCUCCGAUGCGGACAUCAUGCGAGGGUGAGGUCGGCGGUUCAAUCCCGUCCGGAGGCA